RNAcentral lists this long non-coding RNA (2269 nucleotides) under Schistocerca americana (American grasshopper). Its description in RNAcentral is "uncharacterized LOC124619852". The record is from RNAcentral. Lineage: Eukaryota; Metazoa; Arthropoda; Insecta; Orthoptera; Acrididae.
CACCGAAGUCUGCAAAGGAAGCACGCACAGUAAGGAACUGAGCAUCAAACAAUGCCUGGUCCUCACCACCAUGAGUCCCAUCACCAUGGGCCACCUCACCAUGGGCCCCCUCACCAUGGACCACCACAUCAUUGGCCACCUCACCAUGGACCACCUCACCAUGGACCACCUCACCAUGGACCACCUCACCACGGACCACCUCACCAUGGCCCUCCUCAUUUUGGCCCCCCUCAUCAUCAUGGUCCUCCUCCUCCACGCCCCAGAGAAUGCUGCACUAUAAUUUGAUGAAGUUUCUACCACUACUGUUCAACAAAGACUGAUUGGAUGUAAAGAGAACUAAACAUGUUCUCUCUUUUAGUGAUAAUACAAUUUUUUAAAAUAAUAAUAUUAUUAUGUAACUAGACUCAUUAUUUUCAAGUGCUAUAUACAGUCCUUUAUCAUAGAUAUUUUACAAGAAGCACAGUAUUUUUUAUCUUACUUUUUGAACUAUUGUCUGUAUACUGUAUUUAUUUCUAAUUAUAACUCUUCAUUAAAACAAAUUUAUUGUUACACUUUCCAGAGAUUGUUGCACCGCUUACACUUGAAAAUGUGUUAUUGAACUUUGUUAAACGAAGAGUCAUAAACUGUUCUUGUAAUUUCUUAAUGUCUACUUGGUCAAAGGACAUCCCACAGUAUCAGAGUUUGUGGCACAAAUGACUGAAACUAUUAAAAUAUCACGCAAUUUAAGAAUCAACUAAUUCUGUAAACCAGUAUAUUUUGUAAAAUAUACUUACUUUCUACAUUUGAAAAACAGCUUCCAACACAUGGUUUACAACUCACAAAACAUUAAUACAACCUCUGGGACUUAUAAAACGCAGUUGUUGUGACUAUAAUCCACAACAUGUAUUUCCUGUACAUAGUAAAUUUUCUGAGGUCAAAAAAUAAUUAACAAAACCUUUGGAUUUCAUCUCCUGUGAAACUAUAUUGGAAUCAGUUAACAAAUGAUUCCAUUACUUUGUUCAUUAACUGUGUGCUGUAGAUCACAUCAAGAACCUUCAAGGAUGCUAAAGUAUACAGUAACAUAAGAGAAGCAACUACUAAAAAUUUAAUCUGUUCACUGUAUUAGCAAUCAACAAUUUAUGAAGCACACUGUAAAUGACUUUCUUAGGAAGCUACAAAAUAUACAAACACGAUCAUUUUUCUUGUUUAGCUUUAGGAUUUAGUUUCUAGGGUACUGUAUCACUUUCUCCAUGAAAAAUCCUUUACGUGCCAGCCUGAACAGCAGUUAACAUGUUUCGCUCAGAAUGAUGAGUUAGUACUCUACUGCAUCGAAAGGAACGUCAACCAAGAAAACUGUUAAAUUAUGAUACAAAUCUGACAAGUCAUAACUUCAGAAAGCGAAAUAUUUGUUACUGCCAAUAGACAUGUAAAAGUAUACAUCACUAUCCAGCUUUUGAAACGUCCAAACCCAUGUGUUAGCUAAAAGCUAAGUUGAUCAUAAUAAGGAUGUCCUCAGUAGAGGUUGGUCCCUCUCAUCUUGAAGUCUGAGUAUCCUACCCUUCCUUUUCUACCCAUCCCAAACCUAUACAUUUCUCCAGCCUGAGAAACUAAUAGUUCCAAAAACUAGGAAAGUGUUGCGUACUUUUAAUCUUCUGUUAUAGGUCACAUGCUCAAAAGCAUUUGAAAAAAAAUGUCAAACUGACUGGUAAACAAAGAUUAUUCAUUUUUCUUACAUUUAAGUAGCUCUAAGGAGAUUUACAGUGUAACAUACACAAAAAAGAAAACCAAAGUAUGAUAAUUAUUUUCUGAAGAAGAUAAUGGACCAUAAGGCCAACAACAAACUAAUACUAUCAGAGGCCUGGGACAGCAGAACUAAAUGAGGCCCCCCAUCUGCUUUAAAAAUUGAGUUAUUUGUAGAGCACAUUUUGUAGAAUAUAAUUAAUAUAUAUAUAUAAUGGCUGACAAAGAUCAAAUAUUUAUAAUGAGUACACUCAAUGCUAAUUGUAAUUUAUACAUUUUAAAAUAUAGGUGAGAAACAGAAUACAAAUCAAUUAAUCAAUUAACACAACAGCCAUCAGGUAGAAUGCUAAGAAAUAACUAAGAAUAUACCAAGAAGGUUGUCUUUUAUUUUAAAUGUCUGAAUACAAAGCAUCUAAAAUUCUACUAUCAGUUACUUUCAUAACCUCAGUACAAGAUAGUAGUUACUAUUGAUAUUAUUAUAGUCCAUGUUUUUGUGCCUUUAUUUUACUGAAAUUCGCAAUGACAUCAAUAAAUUCGAUUUCAUCUGAAA